ACCAGGGACAGAAAAUGGAGGGAGGUAGUGAUGGCAAAAUGAAGCUUUGAAUGAAGCAUCGAACCACUUGGACAAUUGUGUCGGAAAUAGGUUCAUUUAUCGAAGCUUCAAGUU
Long non-coding RNA from Notothenia coriiceps (black rockcod), 114 nucleotides. RefSeq lists it as uncharacterized. The transcript has 3 exons. NCBI's taxonomy places the organism in Eukaryota, Metazoa, Chordata, Actinopteri, Perciformes, Nototheniidae. The record is from RefSeq and is a predicted model, not a curated record.